UACGUAGGGUGCGAGCGUUGUCCGGAAUUAUUGGGCGUAAAGGGCUCGUAGGCGGCUUGUCGCGUCGGAUGUGAAAGCCCGGGGCUUAACUCCGGGUCUGCAUUCGAUACGGGCAGGCUAGAGUUCGGUAGGGGAGAUCGGAAUUCCUGGUGUAGCGGUGAAAUGCGCAGAUAUCAGGAGGAACACCGGUGGCGAAGGCGGAUCUCUGGGCCGAUACUGACGCUGAGGAGCGAAAGCGUGGGGAGCGAACAGG
Molecule: ribosomal RNA, 253 nt
Filed under: uncultured bacterium
Lineage: Bacteria
Description: partial 16S ribosomal RNA
Rfam family: Bacterial small subunit ribosomal RNA
Source: RNAcentral